RNAcentral lists this ribosomal RNA (1492 nucleotides) under uncultured rumen bacterium. RNAcentral describes it as "bacterial SSU rRNA". It matches the Rfam family "Bacterial small subunit ribosomal RNA". The record is from RNAcentral.
AGAGUUUGAUCCUGGCUCAGGACGAACGCUGGCGGCGUGCUUAACACAUGCAAGUCGAACGGAGUGCUUACGAAAGAGGCUUCGGCCAAUGGAAUGAGUUACUUAGUGGCGGACUGGUGAGUAACGCGUGAGGAACCUGCCUUUCAGAGGGGGACAACAGCUGGAAACGGCUGCUAAUACCGCAUAACACAUUUAAGCGGCAUCGCUUGAAUGUCAAAGAUUUAUCGCUGAAAGAUGGCCUCGCGUCUGAUUAGAUAGUAGGCGGGGUAACGGCCCACCUAGUCGACGAUCAGUAGCCGGACUGAGAGGUUGACCGGCCACAUUGGGACUGAGAUACGGCCCAGACUCCUACGGGAGGCAGCAGUGGGGAAUAUUGGGCAAUGGACGCAAGUCUGACCCAGCAACGCCGCGUGAAGGAAGAAGGCUUUCGGGUUGUAAACUUCUUUUAAGGGGGAAGAGCAGAAGACGGUACCCCUUGAAUAAGCCACGGCUAACUACGUGCCAGCAGCCGCGGUAAUACGUAGGUGGCAAGCGUUGUCCGGAUUUACUGGGUGUAAAGGGCGUGCAGCCGGAGAGACAAGUCAGAUGUGAAAUCCGCGGGCUUAACCCGCGAACUGCAUUUGAAACUGUUUCCCUUGAGUAUCGGAGAGGUAAUCGGAAUUCCUAGUGUAGCGGUGAAAUGCGUAGAUAUUAGGAAGAACACCAGUGGCGAAGGCGGAUUACUGGACGACAACUGACGGUGAGGCGCUAAAGCGUGGGGAGCAAACAGGAUUAGAUACCCUGGUAGUCCACGCUGUAAACGAUCAAUACUAGGUGUGCGGGGACUGACCACCUGCGUGCCGGCGUUAACACAAUAAGUAUUGCACCUGGGGAGUACGAUCGCAAGGUUGAAACUCAAAGGAAUUGACGGGGGCCCGCACAAGCGGUGGAUUAUGUGGUUUAAUUCGAAGCAACGCGAAGAACCUUACCAGGGCUUGACAUGGAGGGGACCGGGCUAGAGAUAGUCCUUUUCUUCGGAACCCCUCACACAGGUGGUGCAUGGUUGUCGUCAGCUCGUGUCGUGAGAUGUUUGGUUAAGUCCCGCAACGAGCGCAACCCCUAUUGUUAGUUGCUACGCAAGAGCACUCUAGCGAGACUGCCGUUGACAAAACGGAGGAAGGCGGGGACGACGUCAAAUCAUCAUGCCCCUUAUGUCCUGGGCUACACACGUAAUACAAUGGCGGACAACAGAGGGAUGCAAAGCCGCGAGGCAGAGCGAACCCCAAAACUCCGUCCCAGUUCGGAUUGCAGGCUGCAACCCGCCUGCAUGAAGUCGGAAUCGCUAGUAAUCGCGGAUCAGAAUGCCGCGGUGAAUACGUUCCCGGGCCUUGUACACACCGCCCGUCACACCAUGAGAGUCGGGAACACCCGAAGUCCGUAGCCUAACCUUUUAGGAGGGCGCGGCCGAAGGUGGGUUCGAUAAUUGGGGUGAAGUCGUAACAAGGUAACCGUA